UUAGAUAGAUAGACUUGAACUUCUAAAUAAAUUCUAUUGAAGUGAUCAGAAAGAAAAGUCAAUAAUUAAUCCAGGGUCUCUAUGUUUUUCCCAUAAGCAUUAGAUGAAUGUAACGGUAGAAGAUUAAUUUUCAUUUUAGCUGUUUGUUCUUUCCUAACAAAACCAUGUCCUUUUAUUUUCUGGUUGGUGGUCUACAAAUGAAAUACAUUUAAAAAUAGGUAUUGAAAACAGAAGACUUUUUCACCAUAGAUUUCAAUAAAAAGAACUAUUUUGAAUGAUAAAAUUAACUUGCUUAAAAGUUUAGAUUUAGACACAACUGUUGAAAGAGCUUAUCUCUUCAUUUUAAUGAUGAAGUGAUACAUAUUUUAGGAGUCCUGUUUUCUCACAUAGGCAUACGGAAGAAUUAUUAUCAGCAGUGAGUUGAUAGAUGAGCUAAACCUUAUCACUGCUUCACAGAUAAGGCUAAGGUGAGUGAACUAAUAAAUGCUUAAUGGGAAAAAGUUGACAGGUUCCUAACUUCAACCAUGUUAUAUACGUGUAGAAUAAUGGCAUUAGGUGCCCUGGGGUUGAGUAAAGAAGCUGUGAGAAAAAUCAUAGAUUUGGCUUUUGGCAGAUUGGGUUCAUAAGGAAAAACCACAUUCAAUUUAUACCAAUAAAAUAAAUUGAGGGUUGCUUAAAAGUAGUCUGUGCAAAUGUUUAUUUCAAAUAGAGUGUGCAUCAUCAUAAAGUCUAUCUGCUUACAUUAUCUUGCCACUUGAUAGAUUGAUAUCUACAGCUCCAACAAGCUUGUUGUGAUAAAGUUAAAUUUUAUUUUCCAAGAUCUGGCAUUCUGAUAACUGCCAUAGACCUAACUUUACUAGGUAAAAGCUUAGUUUUCUAUAUCAUUUCUCCCUAUAAUUUUCUUGACUUGUUAUGGAUUCAUAAAUUUAUUAGGCAUUCUUUUUUUUGUUUGUUUGUUUUGCUUUUUAGGGCUGUACCCACAGCACAUGGAAGUUCCCAGGCUGGGGUCGAAUCAGAGGUGCAUCUGAGACCUACAGCGUAUCUUAUGGCAACACUGGCUCCUUAACCCACCUAGCAAGGCCAGGUAUGGAACCCGCAUCCCCAUAGAUACUAGUGGGGUUCAUACCUGCCGAGCCAAUUGGGAACUCCUCUUAGGCAUUACUUGAAAUCAAUAAAAUUGGAAAGUUCCAAUCUGCAUCCCUAUUAUUGUUUAUUUUUUCCAGUAGAUUUCAGGAACCUGGAAGCAAGCUCAGAUAUAGAGGAUACUUGUUAGAAUUUUGGUAGGUAGGUGAAAGGAAAAGCCAAAGAGGCUGGCAGGAAAAGAUAUUGAGAAUAUUUGAAAUAAUAGGUAAUGUGAUCUGAGCUUGAUAAGGAGGGAAGUAAAAUAGGAUGAUGCCACCAAGCAGGAAAUAUGUAGAGACCUGACCGUCUCAGAUGUGAUGUAGAACAUUGAGAAUUGUAAUAAACAGGAAAAUCUAGUAUUUAUAUUUAUAGUGUAGGAUCUUUUAUACAACUGAUAAUAAAUACUCUUUCUAAUGCCAAUUAUUUCUUCCUCACUCUAAGGAUAAAGAGAAUUUGAUAUGUGAUAUUAUCUAACUCCUUUGAUUUUUAAAAAUAGAAAAUAUAUUAUGCUUAAAAAAUUCUUAUUUCUAAAUAAAAACAAAUAAAAUGGCUAGAGCAUGUUAAGAAAUGACUAUAAUAGAAGAAAGUGACUUUCAAAUGACUAUGAAAUAUUUUUACUUUAAUAUUUAUUUUUAGAGUCCUUGUAUAAUUCACUGUAAUUAGAGUGUUCAUAUUUUUUUUUGCCAUGUACUGAUUAAACCCAGUUGGGAUUAGAGCAUAUGAAGAACUAAACCACUGUAAAAGAAAUAAUAUCACACUAUGAGCCAGUUUGGCAUGCCAUGUAGAUUAAGCAACCUAAGGUGUUAAAUUAUAGAUAUUUAAAUUACCUUUCAUAAAAUCUUUUUAUAGAAAACUUACUUCAGAGAGUAUAAAAUCUACUUAGCAUAAAAAUGAUAAAAAUUAUGUCCGAGGGCACCCAGUUCCUUACUGGGUAUUGGCUGAAAGAUGCUGUCAGAUUCUAGGGGCCACCUUCAGUUCCCUGCCACAGUGCUGAGUACUUUGUAACAUGACAGGUUGCUUAUUCAAGGCUUGCAGGAGAGCAUCUCUCCCAGCUGUGGGCUAAUGAUAUCUAGUUUUAUAUAAAUUUAGGUAAUCGUAGGAGCUACAUGCCAUCACCUUUGCCACAUUCUGUUGGUUUUUAUUGGUUGGAAGCAAGGCCACCAGUUCUGCUUGCCCUCGAAAGAAUGAGAUUAUAUAAGAAUAUGACGCUGGGGGCCCCCUUAGACUAUGUCCUCCACACGUACAUUCAUUAAAUUUUUGAUGAAAAGUGAGAAUCUAAUAGGCAAUCCCAUGAAAACUGAAUUAUGUUUCAGACACUGAUCCUUUAAAAAUGCGAUUGGACCCAUUGACUCCAAACGUAUCUCUUUUCCUGCUGCUUGUAACAUUCUGUAAUUUUCUAACCCACUUGGAAUAAAGGCUGAAGUCCUCACCAAGGUCUGUAGACCAACAUGAGUUGGCCUCUGUUAAUGAUUUCUUAUGAUUUCUCCCCUUGCCUCUGUGUCACAGUCACACUCAAAAUUUGUUCUCCGUAUAGGCCUUUGAUGUAGUUAUUUCCUCUCCCUGCUUAUCUUCUCUUCAAAGUAAAUGUAACCUUCUCCGAAAGGCUUUCUCUGACUAUUUAAUCUAGAAUUUUACCAAUCAUCAUUGACAUUACAUAACCUUGUUUCUAUUGUCUUUUGGAAUCAGUCAUUGGUGGUAUUUUCUUCUGGUUGGAUUUAGUUUUGCUGUUUAGCCUCUACCUCCUCUACAAUAGAACAUAAGUUCUAUAAAAGCAGAGGCUUAAUGUUUAGUAGUUCAUCUUAUUAUUGCCAGCACCCAGAGCAGUUUGUCUCACUGGUGGGCUCAAUCUAUAUUUGUUGAAUGAAUAAAAGUCCUACAUAAAUCUUCUCUGGAGGCAGCUUUUGUUAUUACUAAAGAAAUCAGAUUCAAAGUUCUGAAAACACUUACUUUGCUCCAUGUGUUUUUGGUUUGACUCUCUGUGUAAAUUAUCAGUCUUGCAAGUACCAUAUCUUGUAACUCUUCAGUGGUCGCCAUAAAACCUCAUGCUCUGGGAACAUAAUUUUUAAUACUAUGUGCUGGUUGCUUAUCAGGACAUAACCAUUCUUUUCAUUUUGAUGCAAUUGUGGAUUAACUACUUGCCCUAUUUACUAAUUAAGUUAUACCGUUACUAAAUAAAUAUAUUCCAACAAUGUAAAUUAUUUCUUAUUUCAAGAAGAAAUGAUGGAGGAACUGAUUUUAGCUGCAAUUUACAUAUCUUCUUAAAGAAGUCCAUGGGUGGCAGUACUAUGUUUAUGAUUAAGACCAUCAACAUGUGGUUUAAUACAAAUAUCUCAGGAAUUUUAGUGAUUUUAGGGGUAUGCUCCUGUCUUGGAAAGGGAUAACUCCAUUACAAAAAAAGAAAAAAAGAAUCUUGGCUAAGUAAACACAUUCUGGAACUGUUUCUAUCUUGUGCCAUGCUGCCAGUUAAUGAGUUUGAUGAAAGAGGUUGUAAUAACCUAUAAUGAAAGAGAAUGUAAAAAAAAAAAAGAAUAUAUAUAUAUACACACACACACACACACAUAUAUAUAUAUAUCUGAAUCACUUUGUUCUACAUCUGAAACUAACACAGCAUUGUAAAUCAACUCUACCCCAAUCAAGUUUUUUUAAAGAAGAAGUUGCUUUACGUUAGGAGUACAAUUUAUACCACUGGGAAUGUAAACUAGAGAAGAUAGAGAUUUGGAGAGGAACUGGUUGAAUGAUGUGUUGCACAGAGCUUGUGUUUUGUUUUGUUAUUUGGGAAUAUUCAAUAUUGAAAAAUAGAGUUUAAAAUGUUUUUAAGUCCAAGAAAUGAGCUUAAAACAAUUCUCUAAGAUUAAGAAUAAAAUGAAGCAUGUUUUCUUAUCAGGAGAUAAAGUUGGAACUUGAGUUUAUAGAGCACACUUAAAUAUGCAGAGAUUCACAGAAGCAUUUAUUUAAUACCUUGUAACACAACAGCUUGAAAAGAAUUAUGCAAAAAUGUAAAUAUAAUUAGUAUCAAAAUUUUGAAAUGCAGACAAUGAAAUUUCCAGUUAAUGUCUGCUAUAGAAAACUCAGCUGAAGGAGCAAAGCUAGAGAAGGUAAUUAAUCUUCAAGACUGAAAGUAUUAUAAUAGAAAUUGUCCUUUUUGAGGUAUAUAAUUGGAUUUCCAAGAACAUAGAAUCAUCUACUUUUAAAGGUAGAAACAAAGAACGUGUGGAUUUAUGACAUUUCCUUAGCAUCAUUUUCAUUUUUUAAUGAAGAGUCUCAAAUUAUUAAUCUAGGGAAGAUGUUUAUAAUUGCUGAUCAAAUUCUGUCCUGGGGCAAGUUGACUAAAUAGCUUUUGAUCAUACACAGUUAGUGACAAAGAGUUUUCAUAGGUUUCAUCGACAAGGUCUUUAUGAGUGAAAGGGAUAAUUUCUUUUCCUAUAAGAGACACAUUUUUUUUUGAUGUUACCACCUUAAAAAGAUCUUUUCAUGAAUUAUACAAAGCUUAUGGCAUUACCUUGAGUCAGAUAGUACUGCAUGCCCUUCAGUGAUAAAAGUUUCAAAGAAAGUCACACUUCCCAAUGAAAAAUGAAGUAAGGAAAAUUUUAUUCACUGUUCAGCACUGUACACAGGGCCAGGCAUUGUGCUGUGGGAUACGUUCAUAUGGCCAAAUAGGAAUGUUUUGGAAUUCCUGUUGUGGCUCAGUGGUAAUGAACCCAACUCAUAUCCAUGAGGAUGCAGGUUCGAUCCCCGGCCUCUUUCAGUGGGCUAAGGAUUCUGCAUUACCAUGACCUGUGGUGUAGGUCACAGAUGCAGCUC
RNAcentral lists this long non-coding RNA (4923 nucleotides) under Sus scrofa (pig). Its description in RNAcentral is "lncRNA (ENSSSCG00000054609.1)". Lineage: Eukaryota; Metazoa; Chordata; Mammalia; Artiodactyla; Suidae. The record is from RNAcentral.